Hibiscus syriacus is the source of this 953-nucleotide long non-coding RNA. RefSeq lists it as uncharacterized. The record is from RefSeq and is a predicted model, not a curated record. NCBI's taxonomy places the organism in Eukaryota, Viridiplantae, Streptophyta, Magnoliopsida, Malvales, Malvaceae. The transcript is spliced from 3 exons.
CGAAGUCUAACAAAACCUUCUUUUAUGUUCUACAAUGCGACCGCCAUCUUUACACUGCAACUUCUUCUCCUCUCUCAAACAGGUUGAGAAAAGAUUGAAACUUGAAGAAAACCAACCAGAUUCAGGCCCAUCCAGUUCAACCCCAUCCCAUGUUCCUGAAACUAAUCCUACGCCAACACAAUCUUUGGGCACACCGCUUUACCUGCACUUAACCAACCCUUCCAGCCCCAACGUUAGCAACACUGUCGAAGACAGUGAACCCCCACGAGCUUUCAUCUCUUCUUUUACUUCACCACAGUUGCUUCCAACAGACGAAACCCAACGUCAGAUAAACCUUCAGAUUCUCCCAUAAGAAAAGACAGGGAUGAAAUCGAGUAUUUGAUGCAACUUUUGGGUUUAUCUGAUAAUUUUGAAGAAACCCAGAAAAAGGGGAAGCAGAAGACUGUCGUUUGUGGAGGGAAUUCUUGUGGGUGUGAGUGUGGGUUUUAUGAGAAGAUUGUUGGGGUUAAAGGGCCAAAGUGUGAGAAGGAAGUGGAAAGGAUGGAAGGUUGGAUUAGAUACUUCUUGGGGAAUGGUAGUGAGCCUUUGAGGCUGGCUUUCUUGCUUAUGGGAAAAGCUGCUUUUGAGAGUGGUGAUGAAUGUGGGUUUCAAUGCCUGGAGUUCCCUUCUGCCAUAGACGAAUUUUUGAAGAUUGAUCCUCCUAAAGACUGAGAGCCUGAGACAUUAUUAGAGUUCUUAUCCAAUGGAUUUUCUUCUUUCUCCAUUGGCUUGAAGUUUGAAGCUUUUGCAUAUCACCAUUUCAUGUCAGCUUGUAAGAGGAGAGUCCGAGUCAUUGGUUUGUUUGAAGAAUUUUCUGGCAUAUGGAGAAAUUAGUAAGUGCAUUAAUAAGUUGAAGUAAUUGAAGAAUACCUGGUGCCAAGUAGCCAAUAGUGCCUUCAAAUGCUGAUGUUGAU